AGACUGGGCUAUUCUGAAAUAAG
Molecule: non-coding RNA, 23 nt
Filed under: Cricetulus griseus (Chinese hamster)
Lineage: Eukaryota; Metazoa; Chordata; Mammalia; Rodentia; Cricetidae
Source: RNAcentral